RNAcentral lists this ribosomal RNA (550 nucleotides) under uncultured bacterium. RNAcentral's name for it is "bacterial SSU rRNA". It matches the Rfam family "Bacterial small subunit ribosomal RNA", at positions 355 to 896 of the family's 1533-position model. The record is from RNAcentral.
CGGGGAAUCUUGGACAAUGGGGGCAACUCUGAUCCAGCGAUGCCGCGUGUGUGAAGACGGCCUGCGGGUUGUAAAGCACCUUAGGGGGGGAAGAAGGACGUGGAGUGAAUACCUUCAUGUUUUGACGUUACCCCUAGAAUAAGCACCGGCUAACUCUGUGCCAGCAGCCGCGGUAAUACAGAGGGUGCAAGCGUUAAUCGGAGUGACUGGGCGUAAAGCGCACGUAGGUGGUUGAAUGCGUCUGAUGUGAAAGACCUGGGCUUAACCUGGGAACGGCGUCGGAAACGGUUCGGCUAGAGUCGAAGAGAGGGCAGUGGAAUUUCCGGUGUAGCGGUGAAAUGCGUAGAGAUCGGAAGGAACAUCAGUGGCGAAGGCGACUGCCUGGCUUCAGACUGACACUGAGGAGCGAAAGCGUGGGGAGCAAACAGGAUUAGAUACCCUGGUAGUCCACGCUGUAAACGAUGACAACUGGCUGUGUGCGGGGGCGACCCUGUGCGUAGCGUAGCUAACGCGUUAAGUUGUCCGCCUGGGGAGUACGGCCGCAAGGCUA